Molecule: ribosomal RNA, 930 nt
Filed under: uncultured archaeon
Lineage: Archaea
Description: bacterial SSU rRNA
Rfam family: Archaeal small subunit ribosomal RNA
Source: RNAcentral
UUCCGGUUGAUCCUGCCGGAGGUCACUGCUAUUGGGGUCCGGCUAAGCCAUGCGAGCGGAGGGUGCGGUCGAAAGAUCGUGGCCCCGCACACGGCUCAGUAACACGUAGUCAACCUACCCUUGGGACGGGGACAACCUCGGGAAACUGAGGCUAAUCCCCGAUAGGCGGGGGACGCUGGGAUGCCUCCUCGCCCAAAGCUCCGGCGCCCGAGGAUGGGACUGCGGCCUAUCAGGCUGUUGGUGGUGUAACGGACCACCAAACCUACGACGGGUACGGGCGAUGGGAGUCGGAGCCUGGAGAUGGGGACUGAGACAAGGCCCCAGGCCCUACGGGGCGCAGCAGGCGCGAAAACUCCGCAAUGCGCGCAAGCGUGACGGGGGGACCCCAAGUGCCGUUGGUCUUUCGAUCGACGGUUUUUAGGAAGUCUAAGAAGCUUCCAGAAUAAGGGCUGGGCAAGACUGGUGCCAGCCGCCGCGGUAACACCAGCAGCCCAAGUGGUGGCCACGAUUAUUGGGCCUAAAGCGCUCGUAGCCGGAUCAAUAAGUCCCUUGUGAAAUCGGGCCGCCCAACGGUUCGGCGUGCAAGGGAUACUGUUGGUCUUGAGGCCGGGAGAGGUCGGAGGUACUCCUGGGGUAGCGGUGAAAUGCUCUAAUCCUAGGGGGACCACCAGUGGCGAAGGCGUCCGACCAGAACGGACCUGACGGUGAGGGGCGAAGGCUAGGGGAGCGAACGGGAUUAGAUACCCCGGUAGUCCUAGCUGUAAAGCAUGCGGGCCAGGUGUCUAGCGCUCCUUGAGGGCGCUAUGUGCCGGAGGGAAGCCGUUAAGCCCGCCGCCUGGGAAGUACGGUCGCAAGGCUGAAACUUAAAGAAAUUGGCGGGGGAGCACCACAAGAGGUGGGACCUGCGGUUCAAUUGGAUUCAACGCCGGG